RNAcentral lists this long non-coding RNA (279 nucleotides) under Vigna radiata. RNAcentral's name for it is "long non-coding RNA (VRAD_LNC012791)". The record is from RNAcentral. Lineage: Eukaryota; Viridiplantae; Streptophyta; Magnoliopsida; Fabales; Fabaceae.
GAAAGAGCUUGGAAAGAAGAGGUGCUGCAGUUAGUCCACAGCCCGGUCCUGCAAUAGGCGUGAUGGGAGGCUUCAUUCAGGAGCUGUCAGGGUCCACGUGAGAGUGCAUGCUACAUUAAGAUAAAGAAGUGGAGCCAACAUGUCCAGCAAAAGAAGAGAGGUGCUUGAAGGAAUAACACACGGCCCAACAGAAAUUGGUGGUCCAGCAUUUAAGCUAGAAGCUGUCACGGUCCAAACCUAGCUCCUUCAUCAUGGGUUGCACAUUAUUUAGCACACAGC